This 148-nucleotide non-coding RNA is filed under the name Chlorocebus sabaeus (green monkey). Lineage: Eukaryota; Metazoa; Chordata; Mammalia; Primates; Cercopithecidae. The record is from Rfam by way of RNAcentral.
GCCAGGCGUGGUGGUGCAUGCCUGUAAUCCCAGCUACUUGGGAGGCUGAGGCAGGAGAAUCGUUUGAACCCAGGAGGUGGAGGUUGCAGUGAGCCAAGAUGGCGCCACUGCACUCCAGCCUGGGUGACAGAGUGAGACUUUGUCUCAA